CCGGAAGUUUGGGUUGGGAGCCAGGCUUCGACAGCCAUCUUGAGCCCCAGCGAGUAAGGCAGGGCGGGCCUGAGGGCUGCCGGCCUUCCGCCCAGCGUGGGUGGGGGCACGGUCUGAUGGCCUGGCCCGGCACCUGCGGGGACCCGGAGGAAGGGAGGAGAGGGGCCUCACCUGUGGGGUCUCCACCCCCAGCGCCCUCCAGGGUCCUGGUGCCGCCUGGGGCGGGGGAAGGGUGGUCCGGGCUGUCUCUGGGGCCGCUGCCAGCAGAGGCUGCUCUUCCGUGGCCUGGGCUGGGAGUUGGGGGCCGGGGCUGCUUUUCUAAAGUCCUCUCCUCUUCCCCCCUCCGGAUAGGUGGGGGCAGCAAGGGACGAGGUCACCCCCCGGAGAGGCUUCCGGAGGGGCUCCAGACCUGCGGCCCCCAGGUCUCUCCUGGCCCAGUGGUGGUGCCAACGGCCCAGCGGCUGCAGCACCUAUGCCCAGACCCUCAGCGUGGGGCCCCCGCAGGCCCCCGCACCCGCACACCUGUCAUGCACGGAAGCCUCACACACUUUAUUUCACCAGCAGUCCUUUGUGUCUGCGAUAGAAAGGCCACCUUGGGGUCCCGGGGCGCCCCGGGUCAGGGCCACGGGGGCUGGGAGGUCAUGGGGUGGCCUGUGCCCUGGGGGCCCACGAGGGCCUGGGCCUGGGCAAGAGUGCACUGUCGGUUCAGGGCCACUGCUGGGUCCGAUGGGCCCCUGGCCUCCCCUCCACGCGGCAUCUGGCGAGGGGCCCUCCUCGGGCGGCAGUCGGGCCAGGAAUGGGGUAUUUUCUAAUGUACCAUUCCUAGUGUCAUCUCUUUAAUUAUGUUUUUAAAUUAUUUUCUUAGUUGCUGCCCUCAGGAUUACCGUUAAUAUCUUAAGUUGUAACAAUCUCUUUCAGAUUAAUACCAAGUUUUUGUUUUUGUUUUUUUUCUUUUUUUGUCUUUUUAGGGCUGCACCCCCGCAGCACUUGGAGGUUCCCAGGCUAGGGGUCAAAUCGGAGCUGCAGCUGCCGGCCUACACCACAGCCACAGCAACACCGGAUCCGAGCCGCAUCUUCGACCUCCACCACAGCUGUCGGCAACGCCGGAUCCUUAACCCACUGAGUGAAGCCAGGGGUCGAACCCACAACCCCAUGGUUCCUAGUUGGAUUCGUUUCCACUGCACCAGGACGGGCAAUCCAGAUGACAAUUUUUUUUCAGCAUUUUGAAUGUGUCAUCCCACUGCCUUCUGGACUCCGUGGUUUUGGAUGUGAUACUGGCUGUUGACCUCACCCAGGGUCCUUUACGACGAGUGGCUUCUGUUCGCUGCUUCCGACACUGGCUCCUGGUCUUUGUCUUUUGAAAGGUUAUGCUGUGGUGGAUCUUUUCCAUUUACCCUAGUUGGAGCUCACUGACCUUCUUGAAUGUGUAGAUUAUUUCUCAUCAAAUUUGGGGAGUUAUCUGCCGUUAUCUUCUCAAAAACUCUUCUCACCUCUGUCCCUCCUUUCUUUCUGGAUUCUCCUUCUGCUGGUCUGCUCCACGGUGCCCACAGUCUCUGCAGCUUGAUUUUCCGCCAUUCCUUUUACUUUCUUUUUCUUUUCAUCUUUUUAGGGCCACACUCACGGCAUAUGGAGGUUCCCAGGUUAGGGGUCCAAUUGGAGCUAAAGCUGACGGCCUACAACCACAGCCCACAGCAACACUGGAUCCUUAGCCCACUGAGCAAGGCCAGAGAUCGAACCUGCGUCCUCAUGGGUCUAGUCAGAUUCACUUCUACUGAGCCAUGACAGGGACUCCACUCCUUUUACUUUCUGUUCCUUAGACUGGAUAAUCUCAACUGCCUUAUCUUUCAAUAACUCACAUGUCCUGUUGUGCCUCUCUAGCGAUUUUUUAUUUCAGUUAUUGUAUGUUUCAACUCCAGAAUCUCUCUUUGGCUUCAUUUUAUAAUUUCUAUCUCUUUACUGAUAUCCCAUCUUUGGUAAGACGUGGUUCUUCUAUUUUCCUUCAGUUCUUUUCAAGUGAGGUCUUCCAAGGAACCACAGGACACAUCACCACAAAGGGCCACGAUUCUUGCCAGACAGGGACAUCCUGCUGUCUCCAGCCCUGAGCAUGCAGGCUUGGAAGUGAGGACAAAAGUAGGGCAAGUUAAACUGCUACAAAGCUUGCUGCUGUUACCAAGAGUCAAGAUUUGGCUUGAAGACACCCUCUUCGGGCCACUGAACAUCAGAGUUCCGAGAAGGUUGAUGCUGAGAGGCUGGGCCAGAAACGGAUGCAGGAGAUCAUGGCCCACUGCUUCCUGGCUGUCAAAUCCAAGCUCGAGUGCAAGCUAGGCUACUUCGACCUCAUUGGCUGCGACUUCCUGAUCGAUGAAAACUUUAAGGUGCUGCUGAGGUGUCCCUCGGGGGUGGGGCCUGGCAGGCAGGUACAAGGAGCAGGGGCCCUCAGCGUGCACCCUGACCACCGAGGCGGGCACCCAGCGUGGGCAGUCAGGUGCCCUCCCUAGCCCUGGGGGUGGUGUGCAUAAGGUUUUGCUCCUCCUGCACCUGGGAAGCCCCGAAGGCCUGACCCUCAGACCCCCAGAGUCUAAGCCCCUUAGGCAAAUGGGGGACCGAGGCCAUGAAAGGGAAGCAACCUGCCCAUGUCACUUGUCUUAAUGGGGACCAGGGCCUUGGCCUCCCGCUGGCCAAGUGAUAAGCCGGGAGGGGUGCUAACCAGCGCUGGGUCCAGGUGUGGCUGCUGGAGAUGAACUCCAACCCUGCCCUGCACACCAACUGCCAAGUCUUGAAGGAGGUGAUUCCUGGCGUGGUCAUGGAGACCCUGGCCCCGGCCCGAUGCCCCCUGCUCACCUCCAGACCUGGCGCUUGAGACCUUCCGGAAGAGCCUGCGCAGCGAGAAGAUGCUGCCGCUGCUGACCCAGCGGCGCUUCGUGCUCCUGCACAACGGCGAGGCGGACCUGUGGCCGCGCCCCGGGGGCUCCCGCAGCGUCCCCCGCCCGCCCGCCCGCGACUCCACGGCCUCCGCGCCACCCCCGC
This 3027-nucleotide long non-coding RNA is filed under the name Sus scrofa (pig). Lineage: Eukaryota; Metazoa; Chordata; Mammalia; Artiodactyla; Suidae. The record is from RNAcentral.